GAACGCUCGUAGCAAUACGGGAGUGGCGGACGGGCGAGUAACGCGUGGGAACCUGCCCUGGAGUGUGGGAUAACCGAGGGAAACUUCGGCUAAUACCGCAUACGACCUGAGGGUGAAAGAUUUAUCGCUCUAGGAGGGGCCCGCGUCGGAUUAGCUAGUUGGUGGGGUAACGGCCUACCAAGGCGAUGAUCCGUAGCUGGUCUGAGAGGAUGAUCAGCCACACUGGGACUGAGACACGGCCCAGACUCCUACGGGAGGCAGCAGUGGGGAAUAUUGGACAAUGGGGGCAACCCUGAUCCAGCGAUGCCGCGUGUGUGAAGAAGGCCUGCGGGUUGUAAAGCACUUU
RNAcentral lists this ribosomal RNA (346 nucleotides) under uncultured bacterium. RNAcentral describes it as "bacterial SSU rRNA". It matches the Rfam family "Bacterial small subunit ribosomal RNA", at positions 64 to 436 of the family's 1533-position model. The record is from RNAcentral.